ACCUGCCUUGUACAGGGGGAUAACAGUUGGAAACGGCUGCUAAUACCGCAUAAGCGCACAGUACCGCAUGGUAUAGUGUGAAAAACUCCGGUGGUAUAAGAUGGACCCGCGUUUGAUUAGCUAGUUGGUGGGGUAACGGCCUACCAAGGCGACGAUCAAUAGCCGACCUGAGAGGGUGACCGGCCACAUUGGGACUGAGACACGGCCCAAACUCCUACGGGAGGCAGCAGUGGGGAAUAUUGCACAAUKGGCGAAAGCCUGAUGCAGCAAACGCCGCGUGAGCGAAGAAAGUAUUUCGGUAUGUAAAGCUCUAUCAGCAGGGAAGAUAAUGACGGUACCUGACUAAGAAGCACCGGCUAAAUACGUGCCAGCACCCCGGUAAUACGUAUGGUGCAAGCGUUAUCCGGAUUUACUGGGGUGUAAAGGGAGCGUAGGCGGUGCGGCAAGUCUGAUGUGAAAGCCCGGGGCUCAACCUCGGUACUGCAUUGGAAACUGUCGUACUAGAGUGUCGGAGGGGUAAGCGGAAUUCCUAGUGUAGCGGUGAAAUGCGUAGAUAUUAGGAGGAACACCAGUGGCGAAGGCGGCUUACUGGACGAUAACUGACGCUGAGGCUCGAAAGCGUGGGGAGCAAACAGGAUUAGAUACCCUGGUAGUCC
Molecule: ribosomal RNA, 656 nt
Filed under: uncultured bacterium
Lineage: Bacteria
Description: bacterial SSU rRNA
Rfam family: Bacterial small subunit ribosomal RNA
Source: RNAcentral